This 679-nucleotide long non-coding RNA is filed under the name Helianthus annuus (common sunflower). RNAcentral describes it as "sRNA HanXRQr2_Chr12g0542781". Lineage: Eukaryota; Viridiplantae; Streptophyta; Magnoliopsida; Asterales; Asteraceae. The record is from RNAcentral.
UUUGUUGUGGGGGGACAAAAGACCACAGGCUAGCUUAGCCUCAUAGCUGCCUGGGGCUGAAUACCCAACCGAGAGCGAAGAGCUUGGCCGCGGGGAUGCGGGCACCAAGAUUCCAACCCGGGACCUCUAGGGAGAGGGUGGGUGAGGCUGGGCCAACUGGGCUACCCCAGAAGGUUCAUUGGCUAAGUUAGUGUGAUGGUUGGUUCUUUGAAGGUUCGUUCGUGAUAGGGCUACACUGUAUUACCUAAUGGGGAAUCAUGAUAUCAGUUUUGUGCCCAAGGAAGCCACUUGCAGAGAAAAAAAAUCUGCUGCCCCCUGGAGCUGGUGCUGACUGAAGCUGAAAAAGAUUAUGCGGUAAAUGCUAUGAUGCACAUAUUCAACAAACAUGUCGUGAAAUACGGUACCGGAGCAGUUACUGGAUAAAUGCUUCUGAAGCGGAAUAAUUUGCUGAGGUGGCCACGAAGCCAUUGAAAGCCCUUUCAUAUGAUACAUCUGGUCGAAGUUUAUGGCAUUUGAAUAUCCAUAAGGGGUCCCAUCUUAGCUGUUGGUGGAUUUUUUAACGUGUUGAAGGUUAUCGUCAAAGAGUUAAUGCGGUAAAAAAUCAGAUAUCGGCAUCGGUAUCGGUGAUAUAUCACGAUAUUAACUGCAUAGUCUCUAUCUAAGGAAGUCAAGUAUGAGC